GGCCGUAGAUUGCCUAACACUGGUGUAUGUGACUGUGCCCGCCCGUUUCACUCCUGCAGGGUUCCCAGAGACUGUCACGAGCCAUCGAGCCCUGUGCUUCGAGAAAGGUGGCAGAGAAGCCUGACGAAUGGCUGCUCGUAGUGGAGCAUGGAGUGGUUAUAAACCUCCGGAAGUGUAGUCACCCUGUGCCGGGUGCCAGGAAGUAUCUGUGGAGUAAAUUCUGACCCUCUGCUGUCGGCAGAAAGCCGAACCCAGAGCCGCGAGAACGGGGCCAGCCACAGCCUGCACCCGUCCUCACAUUUCACGGGCGCUUUGUGGGGACAGGAGCCUUAAUACGUGUCAGCCAAGGUGACAGCAGCGUCAAUGGGUGGCUUCACUCCCAGUCAAGACCACGUGGGCCAAGAUGGCUGCCUCUCAGCUGCCGUGCCGGCCCCAGAGGGGGCUGGAGCUGGGAGGCAGGAGCCACACCACAACCAGAUCCAAAACAAAAAUUAAUCCUUAAGUUGCAUCCUGGCUCCAAAUGGGCUCAACCACUAAGAAGCAGCCACAAAAUCGGUUAAAGCUUCCAAAGUGUGUCUCUCCCCAGAAAUCUCUUAGAAAAGGCAGAAGAUUUACAAGAUGUGAAAAGUAAAACAAGGAGCUGUGGCCCCAGAACCUGCCUAACUGCAACCCAAAAGCCCACCCUUCCCUAACCAGACCUGGUAGAAUAAUAGAUGGUGUUUUAUUGGAGAAAGAAUUUACACGGAAAACAAGUGACUGUCACAGCGUUCCCGCUCCAAGGAUGCAGACCCUGACUCCAGGAUGCUCUCUGAAACCCAAAGGGGACCUCGAUUUCUGAUCCUCUCCCUUUAUCCAGCCAUGUCCGCACCUGUAACCAAAAGGCAUGACCCCUGUUACAGGCGCACAGGCAAACAUAU
Molecule: long non-coding RNA, 917 nt
Organism: Mesocricetus auratus (golden hamster)
Lineage: Eukaryota; Metazoa; Chordata; Mammalia; Rodentia; Cricetidae
Exons: 3
Source: RefSeq, a predicted model, not a curated record